UGCGUAGGCGGUCGGGUAAGUCUGACGUGAAAUCUUCAAGCUCAACUUGGAAACUGCGUCGGAUACUAUUCGGCUAGAGGAAUGGAGGGGAGACUGGAAUACUUGGUGUAGCAGUGAAAUGCGUAGAUAUCAAGUGGAACACCAGUGGCGAAGGCGAGUCUCUGGACAUUUCCUGACGCUGAGGACGAAAGCCAGGGGGAGCGAAACG
This 208-nucleotide ribosomal RNA is filed under the name uncultured bacterium. Its description in RNAcentral is "partial 16S ribosomal RNA". It matches the Rfam family "Bacterial small subunit ribosomal RNA", at positions 568 to 775 of the family's 1533-position model. The record is from RNAcentral.